Carassius gibelio (silver crucian carp) is the source of this 679-nucleotide long non-coding RNA. RefSeq lists it as uncharacterized. Lineage: Eukaryota; Metazoa; Chordata; Actinopteri; Cypriniformes; Cyprinidae. The transcript is spliced from 3 exons. The record is from RefSeq and is a predicted model, not a curated record.
ACAGUUGCACAGGUAAUCUGUUUUGAUGCUAGAAUGAAUACAGGUUGAAUGUUAAAUGUCCUAUUCAUCCUACUUGAAGGCCUUGAAACAAAUUUUUUCUACUAACCUUCCCAAUUUGACUUCCUGUCACCCUAGAGGAACAAGUGUAUGAGCAGAGGGGUUUAACAACAGCUCAGACAAAUCAGCAACAAAUGAAAACAAACCGGAGAGGCAUCUCUAAUCGCAGCAGAACAGCUUUCACUUUAUAUCAGAGGGAGAGGUUAGAGAAAGAGUUCAUCCAUGGACUUUAUCCAGAGCUUCUGACCAGAGAAAAGCUGUCUGAGGAGACAAACCUUCCACAAAACACUGUAAAGGCAAUUCAGAUUUAAAACAUGAGCUAACAAAUGCUUUUGUUCCCUUCCAUCUGAAGGUUUGGUUCUCCAGUCGUAGACAGAGGGUGAGGAGGGAACAAAAUGAAGAACCAAAUGAGUGUGUAUCACUGAGUGUAACUAGGCUAGGGUUUCUGGGAAGUAGGAGUACUUUGAUUUAGUUGUCAGCAACAUCUGCCAGUUCAUUUGACGGUUACUUGGCUCAUCACACAAAAUCUGCUUUUCCAUUGGCCCAUCAUCACAGAGACAGAAACACUUUAGCAUUGGCUCAUUUGAACUCAAAUGCUGCUUCAACAUGUCCACUGGAUCUC